AAUACAAGGCCAACCCGUCCCACCACUGGUGACAUUUCCCUUGAUCACUCGUAUUUGGAGUCUGCCAGUUUUCUCGACUGUAAAGUCACCAGUCCUCCCUUUGCAUUUGGUUGGUUAUUUUGUGCAGAAAUAUUCUGAGAUUAUGCCAACACCUGUUCCUCACCAAACUUCUACCUACCAGCCUUAGCAUCCAUUGAUGACCUCGUCUCUAUCAGCUACCACAGAUUGGGCUGCCAAAUGGGGAAGCUGGCCACAUUGUAAGAAGUCGGACUAUGCUGAGACUGUCAUGAUGACAGAAAACCCAAGCUAGCCAGGUGGAGAGAUCACACAGAAAGAGAUGCCUGGCCAGCUGUUACCUGAUAUGCCAUCAUGUAAGUAAAAAGUCCACCUUGGAUGGUCCAGCUCAUAGAUGCCAUGUACAGCAGAGGUGAGCCAUUCCUGCCAAGCCCUGCCCAAUUGCAGAAUUGUGAGUAAAUAAAUAAUUACUAUUGUUUUAAGCCACUAUAUUUUGGGAUGAGUUGUUACAUAGCCAUUGAAAACCAAAACACCUCUCUCCACCAAGUCAUUUCCAUCACUUCCUUCAAGACGGAGGCCAAGUCACCUACAUUGGAAACGUACCUGACAAGCUCAAUACAGCUCAUCUUAUUUUAGAAUUUGGUAGUUUGGAUUAUGCAGUUCUAUGCCUGCUUUUGGUCAGUUUCAUACAUUUACCUAUCCCUAAAAUUAAUAAUGACAAUGGCCAAUGCUGAGCAUCAUGGAUCAGGCACUGUGGCUGGGAAUAAUGUUAUUCCUAUUUUACAGAUGAGGAAACUGCGGCACUGAGCGGUUAAGCACCCUAUCCAAAGGUGGUUCUGUAUAAGUACCCUUCCCAAUGUCCUUGUCCCUCUAUUGCUUUGGUGAUAUGCACUUUGAACUUGAAGUGCUAAAAAGGAAGCUGAUGUGGAGACAACAGAAUGGCAUCUGUUUUGCAGGCAAGAAGAUAAAGGAAGGACAGAGGUUAAACUAAGAGAUGCAGAAAUUAUAGUAUAUCAGCCAGGUGUGGUGGCUCAUGCCUGUAAACCCAGCCCUUUGGGAAGCCGAUGCGGGCGGAUCACGAGAUAUUAAUCCAAGGAACAAUACUGACGAAUUUCACGGACAAAAUACUAAGAAGGAAAUCAAGUGAAUCAAGCGGAGAAGAAAGACAGUGGAAAAAGAAAACUGAA
RNAcentral lists this long non-coding RNA (1202 nucleotides) under Homo sapiens (human). RNAcentral's name for it is "HSALNT0336004". The record is from RNAcentral. Lineage: Eukaryota; Metazoa; Chordata; Mammalia; Primates; Hominidae.